GGCCGCCAGUGGUGGUACCCAUGGCUGGCGAUCUUGUUUUCCCCGCACUCGCCGAGCGGGGGAUGGGGGGACGCAGUGUGGGAGCUCGGCCCCCUAGCUGGGCUCUCCCCCGGGGGCCCCCAAUCGCUCACACGGCGGGGGAGGCGGGGAGCUCCUCGGCCUUGGGUGCCUUAAGUUGGGGGUGAGCAGUGGUUAGUUCACCCUUAACCUAGAAGUCUUUGCUAUUUCUAGGGGAGGCUAGGGGCUUAGGGGAGACGUCUAGGAGGACGUCUUUCUAUAAAUUACCCUUGAAUAGAUGCAGUCUUAAUCAUGUAUUCUGAACCCAAGGUCUCCCUCAAUAAAAAAUAAGAAAGGAUUGCAAGAUCAAAAAGCCAACUGGUCUCUCAAGUCCCUAAUAAACUUUGUAGCUGUCUCAGACACAUUUAGUUUUAAAAAAAAAACCAGGUUAACCCCCUGGCCAGGUUCUUGCCUCCCAAGUACAGAUCACUGACGCGGGCUGCGUGUGGGAACUCGUCUCCUCUUUGUAUUUUUCAAUUCUUUGCCGGGUUGUAGCAGUUUCCUCUACCUGAGUCCAGCCGCCAAACACAACAGCUUCUUCCUUCCUCCACCCUUCUCUCCUACCAGACUCAACUUCUUGGAACCCACCCAGAACACCAUUCAGAUGCAAGUCGAAUGCCCCCACUUAAUUUACUGAAUUGGAGAAGAUGGAGAAAAGGGACAGAAAAAUUAGGUCAAGGCACCGUAGAACUGCGGGGCAAAUAGUGAGAGGGCAGGCGUCUGCUGUAGUAGCGACGAAGCGUGAAAAAAAUACGACGGAGUCCCCGAGGGAAGAGAACCCGGAGCUGUGAGCGCCAUCCUCCUGUGGACAGUAGGCGGCGGCUUUAAAAGACAGCCCGGGAGAAGAAUUUCCAAUAAACAGCCUAAAGGCGGAGCCUAGGGAGAAGACAGAAAGUUACACUCGCGCUGCUCUGAAAAAGGGGGCUCGGCUGCCCCCAAGACCCAGAAUCUCGUCCUGGGUGAUGUUUUUGUUGUCAGUUUCACUCUUGGUAGUUUUCUCCUUAGAGCUCAGAAGUGGCUCAUAAGCCACCCAAGAUUUGUGUGUGUCCUUUAACAGCUUAGGAGAGAGACGAAGACCAAAAUUACUUAAAAGAAAACACCUGUGUGGUAGCCGAAUGUCCCGGCGGGGCGGCUCAGCAAGCUCGCCUCCCAGGUGCAGUUCCUCGCAGGGGGGAAGUCAGGCAGCCCCCAAAACUUCUGCGAAGGCGCACGCUUCCUGGCCCCAUUGCCCCUCCCACCUCGAGCACACGAUUUUAAUCCUUCCUCGAGGAUGUUUACGGUGAGGCGACGCUCGCUCAAUUUCACUAUGCUCCUAAACCGACAUAUUUUUAGAGUUUGGAAAUUUCACAGUCUGUUUCUGACCCUUUUUAUUCAAUUUAAUAAAUACUUAUUGAGCAUUUUCUAU
This is a long non-coding RNA of Bubalus bubalis (water buffalo), 1462 nucleotides long. RefSeq lists it as uncharacterized. The record is from RefSeq and is a predicted model, not a curated record. Lineage: Eukaryota; Metazoa; Chordata; Mammalia; Artiodactyla; Bovidae. The transcript is spliced from 3 exons.